CAUAGUACCUUGUUUAUAUGGAUCCAUAUUUUGUUUCACUACCUAACUUAGUUCUUUGAUCUUUGUAUGAGGUGUUUUGAAUGUGAUGAAGUGUACAUAAAAGUUGUGUGAUCAAUAAGGGAUCAGUCACUCCUAAUAAGGAGAGCGAAUAUCCUAUGUGAUCUUAUAGGUCAGUGAUUCUGGAAGUCUUUGGCCAAAGCACGAUGAUAAUUAGAAAAAAAUUUUUAAUAUAUCAUCAACUGAAUCAUCACCUUC
This 255-nucleotide long non-coding RNA is filed under the name Elaeis guineensis (African oil palm). RNAcentral describes it as "long non-coding RNA (EGUI_LNC065428)". The record is from RNAcentral. Lineage: Eukaryota; Viridiplantae; Streptophyta; Magnoliopsida; Arecales; Arecaceae.